This 24-nucleotide non-coding RNA is filed under the name Arabidopsis thaliana (thale cress). The record is from RNAcentral. Lineage: Eukaryota; Viridiplantae; Streptophyta; Magnoliopsida; Brassicales; Brassicaceae.
CGUCGGGGCAAGAGCCAGGCCUCG